UACGUAGGGGGCAAGCGUUGUCCGGAAUUAUUGGGCGUAAAGAGCGUGUAGGCGGCCAGAUAAGUCCGCUGUGAAAUCUCGAGGCUCAACUUCGAGCUGUCGGUGGAAACUAUCUGGCUAGAGUCCGGAAGAGGCGAGUGGAAUUCCUGGUGUAGCGGUGAAAUGCGCAGAUAUCAGGAGGAACACCAAUGGCGAAGGCAGCUCGCUGGGACGUGACUGACGCUGAGACGCGAAAGCGUGGGGAGCAAACAGG
Molecule: ribosomal RNA, 253 nt
Filed under: uncultured bacterium
Lineage: Bacteria
Description: partial 16S ribosomal RNA
Rfam family: Bacterial small subunit ribosomal RNA
Source: RNAcentral